CCGGCUAACUGGGUGCAUUUUGGAGAGUCGUAAUUUCCUCUUGGUGUUCUUCUUGGCAAGCAAAUGCUGCUUCCCAGCUCUCCUCCGAACUAUUUUUCCUCCACCUGUCACCCUGAAUCUUUUCGCAGAUGCCUUGUGGGUUUUCAUUUUGUAGCCUUUAGCAGCAGUGACUGUAAGAGAUUGAAGUCUCUGAGUGAAAGUAGAGAUAGUAGAGGGUUUUCGAGAGAAAAACGAGAGAGACCCAGAAAUGCUAUGACUCGAACUGAGUCUGGGUGAGUUGUUCAACUUAUUGAAGGGCGAGACGUGAGCAGACACAUAAGAGAGUCGGGCUGUUGUAGGAAAGUGUAGCGGGCAAAACCUGAAAUUGAAAGAGAAGAUGGUCGAAGAAGCCAUUGUUGAAGAUUGUAAUUGGGUUCUUGCUUGCCGCUGUAAGCAAGCGCUUUGAAACAGGAAGAAAGAAAGAAAAGGUGUGACGUGGAGCGAUAUGGUGC
Molecule: unclassified non-coding RNA, 491 nt
Filed under: Hevea brasiliensis (rubber tree)
Lineage: Eukaryota; Viridiplantae; Streptophyta; Magnoliopsida; Malpighiales; Euphorbiaceae
Source: RNAcentral